GGAAUAUUGCACAAUGGGCGCAAGCCUGAUGCAGCAACGCCGCGUGCGGGAAGAAGGUCUUCGGGUCGAAAACCGCUUUUCUGCGGGAAGAGCAUGACGGUACCGCAGGAAUAAGUCUCGGCUAACUACGUGCCAGCCGCCGCGGUAAAACGUAGGAGGCAAGCGUUAUCCGGAUUUACUGGGCGUAAAGCGCGUGCAGGUGGUGGCUUAAGUCGUGCGUGAAAGCUCCCAGGCUCAACCGGGAGAGGUCGGGCGAAACUGAGUCACUAGAGACAGACAGAGGCAAAGGGAAUUCCGGGUGUAGUGGUGAAAUGCGUAGAGAUCCGGAGGAACACCAGUGGCGAAGGCGCUUUGCUGGGUCUGGUCUGACACUCAGACGCGAAAGCAUGGGGAGCGAAC
This 399-nucleotide ribosomal RNA is filed under the name uncultured bacterium. RNAcentral describes it as "bacterial SSU rRNA". It matches the Rfam family "Bacterial small subunit ribosomal RNA", at positions 358 to 773 of the family's 1533-position model. The record is from RNAcentral.